RNAcentral lists this ribosomal RNA (301 nucleotides) under uncultured bacterium. RNAcentral describes it as "partial 16S ribosomal RNA". It matches the Rfam family "Bacterial small subunit ribosomal RNA", at positions 509 to 807 of the family's 1533-position model. The record is from RNAcentral.
CAGUAGCCGCGGUAAUACGUAGGGUGCGAGCGUUAAUCGGAAUUACUGGGCGUAAAGCGUGCGCAGGCGGUUGUGUAAGACAGGUGUGAAAUCCCCGGGCUUAACCUGGGAACUGCGCUUGUGACUGCACAGCUAGAGUAUGGCAGAGGGGGGUGGAACUCCACGUGUAGCAGUGAAAUGCGUAGAGAUGUGGAGGAACACCGAUGGCGAAGGCAGCCCCCUGGGCCAAUACUGACGCUCAUGCACGAAAGCGUGGGGAGCGAACAGGAUUAGAUACCCCGGUAGUCCCUGUCUCUUAUAC